RNAcentral lists this ribosomal RNA (248 nucleotides) under uncultured bacterium. RNAcentral describes it as "partial 16S ribosomal RNA". It matches the Rfam family "Bacterial small subunit ribosomal RNA", at positions 57 to 305 of the family's 1533-position model. The record is from RNAcentral.
GCAAGUCGAAGGUAACAGGGAAGCUUGCUUCCGUUGACGACCGGCGCACGGGUGCGUAACACGUAUGUAACCUACCUUUUACUGGGGGAUAGCCUUUAGAAAUCAAGAUUAAUACCCCAUAUAUGUUACUUUCGCAUGUCUGAUGAAUUAAAGUUCCGGUGGUUAAAGAUGAGUAUGCGCUAAUUAGCUAGUUGGUGAGGUAACGGCUCACCAAGGCCGCGAUGUAUAGGGGUCCUGAGAGGGAGAUC